AAGGUCACACAAUGGACAAGUGUCUGAUUCAAGAUGCUGGAUUCAUACCCCUAAGUCUAGCUCCAGAGCUGGGGAUGUUUAAUCCCUUUACCUCAGCACGUGAAGCACUCACCCCUGGGCAGGCACGCACAGAGUUCCAAGGAGUCUCAGCUGCUGUUACCUUUGUUGGAAUUAUCAACAUGACCAUUUCCCUACUUACCACCUGCCCUCACAGUUCUCACAGGAAUGCCCUUGUCUGUCAUUACUAGUGGCUUCCCCAAUGGGAGGUUUUUCUCUCAGCUGCAAUUGCAUUAUGUCCAAAGGCUGCACCUUCCUCUCCUUUGAGCACAGCACAGAGCUUAACCCUCGAGAAUCAGUGAUUCAGGGCUGGGUCUCUCCACCUUCAUCAGCGACUUGAGUGACAGCCUCUGAUGCCAUCUAACAUCCCAAUAUGAGGUUUGACUUUUUCAGGUAUUUGUAAACUUCAUUCUGGAGGACUAGAGACAGCCCAGUCCAGAGGACCUGGUUCCAGGAGGUGAUAAUGGAGACCUAUGUGCUCCUGGUCUCACUGGGUAACAGCUCACCUCUGCUCCAUUCAUGGACCCGCUGCCUAUUUGGUUCUGUCUGUCCUCUCUGUCCAGGACUGGCUGGUUGAGAAGACCACUGGCAUGCACUGUCCUUCUUCCCUGCAUUCCUCACCAUGUUCUGGACCGACGUCCUCUAUUCUAACCUUUCUGUCUGCACCAAGGGUCUUUUGGUAAAAAACACAAGUCCUCACCUGAGUGCCCAUCACACUCUAACCACAUCUGAGGUCCCCACUCCAGAUUACACAGAAGGGGAACUGACUAGCCUAGCCUGGUUGGGUCAUAUGUCCCCUCGGUCCAGUUAGCAAGGUCAUGGGUGAUAGGCUGCUUCAGAGAAGAGGGUGAGUCAGGCAGUACUUCUUGAGAAUCAUUUAGCAUCAGUUAAUCCAGGGUAUCUUCUUAAACCAUACAAUCCCAGUUAAAACAGGCUCCUGGUGACUUCCCUUGUGGUCCAGUAGUUAAGACUAAACACUUCCAAUGAACGGGGUACUGGUUCGAUCCCUGGUCGGUGAAGUAAGAUCCCACAUGCUGCGCAGCAUGGCCAAAAAAAAAAGGUGGGGGUAGCUCCUGAAUGCUACACCAUUGUCCCUUGUUUCUUAAGGCCUAGACCAUGCUCUUGUGCUGCUUCAGGAGAUGAUUUUAGAGGGUGCACAGAUCUGACAUAAAGUGGAAUGCUUGGACACCCUGAGAAAGCGAUUCUUUUCCCCUGCUCUUUCCCUUGCUGCUGUCAGGAGAAAGUCUUCUUGGUAUAGUGCUAGAUCUCUAUUGCCCACUGUUACUAAUAUCCCCCUCCCCGUUUUUUGUGCCCGAACAGGGACCUGAAACUAAUAUCCCUUUUUAAUAGAGGGGGCACCCAUGAGCAUACCCCAUGGGGUCCCUGGGACUUCAGAGCAUUAUUUUGAUUUCAUUGUAUUUUCAUGGUAAACUUCCACUUGUCCCAAGUCAAACUGGUCUUCCCAAUUAGCAGAGAGAUACAAAUAUUCUUUUUAAGAGGCAAUCUAUAUAAGAAAAAUAAAAUAUAGGUCAUUUAAAAGAGAAUUGUAACACUGGCCACAGCCAAGUUCCCGUAAGCACAGAUCAGGUGUCAGGUUUGUUGCAGGCACUGUUCAGACUCCAUUCCUUGAAUUCCAACAUCCUGUCCUCAGCAAAGUAAGGAAAAUACAGCCACUGAGUGAGUCCCUCAGAAACCUCAAGUUAUUCAAUGUAGAAGAUGUGCCUUCUUUAUGAGGUGCCAACCUGUGCUUUCUUUGCUGCUAAAAGUCCUUUUUGUGACCACACUGCACGGCAUGCAAGAUCUUAGUUCCCAGACCAGACCAGCGAUCGAACCCCUGCCCUCUGCAGUAGGAGCACAGAGGCCUAACCACUGGAUUGCUAGGGAAUUCCCUAAAAGUCCUUUUUAAAAAUGAAAUGUAAGUGAGUGUAGAUGAUAGUUAAUGUCCUUUCUGCACCAAAUCACCAUGUAGAUUUUCUGAUUUUUAAAAAAAUUUUACAGAUCCAUGAAAUAUCAAAAUCUGGGAAUGACCAAGUCAUCCCCUCACACAGAUAUCCCUUUCUCAAGGAUUAAAUACUCCAGAUCACCUCCCCCUCACAUGGCUACCUUCUCCAAGAAUGCUGGCUCUACACAGGGCUGUGCACUGUUUCCUCCUCAGUGUAGCACUCAGGAGGCAGAGUCCUGAAGCCAUAGCUCCUGGUGAGAAUCCCAACUCUGCUUCUCACAGGCUGUAUGGCCCCAGGCAAGUUUCUGAACCUCUCCCUGGCUUAGAGUACUCCUUGACAGAAUGGGGUAAUAUGGUAUUUAUGUCACAGUACUAUUGUUUGUCUAAAUGGGUUCAUGUAUGAAAACUGACCAGUCUGUUACUUCCUGACUGUGCAGGUCUGAGGUAUGAUCUCUGUUGCCAUCACUGCUCCUGUUGAUACCACCAUCAUCAUCAUCAUUAUCCUCAUUAUCAUCAUGCCUGAACUUGGCACCUUCUAGAGCAGUGUUGUGAAGCGUUGUAGUUCAAUAGUACAGAUGCCAGAGACAGCCAACCUGGGUCCCCAACUGAAUCAGCUGAAUAUCAGUUACAUGCCAUUCACCUGUCUCAAUUCACUUGUUAUUGAUAGUUGAGUUGUUUCCAGCUUGGGGAUGUUAAAGAUAAAGCUGCUGCAGACAUUUAUAGCUAGUCUUCAUGUGGAAAUGUGUUUCAUUUAUUUUGAACUAAGAUUUGUGAGUAUAAUUCCUGAGUCAGAUGGUAGGUGAAUUUUUUGUUGUUAAGAAACUGACAAAAUUUCAGUUUCGUUGACCUUUUCAAUUUUUUUUUAGUCUCUAUUUCUGCCCUGAUCUUUAUUAUUUCUUUCUUCUACUAAAUUUGGGUUUUGUUUGUUCUUUUAAUAGUUCCUUUAGGUAUAAGUUUAGGUUGUUUGAGAUUUUUUUUGUGUUCCUGAGGUAGGCUUGUUUCACUAUAAACUUCCCACUUUGGACUGCUUUAGCUAUAUCCCAUAGAUUUUGGAUUGUUUUGUUUUCAUUUGCCUAUAGAUUUUUUUUUUUUUUUUUUUUUUUUUUGCCACACUGGGCAGCUUGAGGGAUCUGUUUCCCGACCAGUGAUUGAACCCAGGCCACAGCAGUGAAAGCCUGGAAUCCUAUCCACUAGGCCACUAGAGAACUCCUGAUAUAUAUAUUUUUUAUUUCUUUGAUUUCUUCAGUGAUCCAUUGGUUGUUAGCAUAUUAUUUAGUAUCCAUGUGUUUGUGUUUUUUGCAGUUUUUUUUUUCUUUUUCUUGUAGUUGAUUUCUAGUCUCAUAGCAUUGUGGUCGAAAAAGAUACUUGACAAGUAGGAAAAGUUAUGGUCAGAGAAGGUUCUUUGAAAAGAAAAAUAAAAUUGAUAAAUCUUUAGCCACACUCAUCAAGGAAAAAAGAAGUCCAAAAUCCAUAAAAUCAGAAAUGAAGAAGUUUCAACUGACACAACAGAAAUACAAAGGAUCGUGAGAUUAAUAUCAACAACUGUAUGCCAAUAAAAUGGACAACCUAGAAGAAAUGGAUUAAUUCCUAGAAUGUACACUCAAGACUGAACAAGGAAAAAAUAGAAAAUAUUAAUGGACCAAUUAACCAGUAAUGAAAUUGAAUCAGCAAUUUUAAAAAACUACCAACAAACAGAAGUUCAGGACCAAAUGGCUUCACAAGUGAAUUCUACCAGAAGUUCAGAGAAGAGUUAACACCUAUGCUUCUCAAACUAUUCCCAAAAACUUACAGCAGGAACACUUUUGAACUCAUUCUACAAGGCCAGCCUCACUACAAUACCA
Long non-coding RNA from Phocoena sinus (vaquita), 3840 nucleotides. The record is from Ensembl. NCBI's taxonomy places the organism in Eukaryota, Metazoa, Chordata, Mammalia, Artiodactyla, Phocoenidae.